GUUCGUUCAUCCUGACAUUAACGGAUGC
This 28-nucleotide small RNA is filed under the name Bombyx mori (domestic silkworm). Its description in RNAcentral is "ovarian small RNA-17978". Lineage: Eukaryota; Metazoa; Arthropoda; Insecta; Lepidoptera; Bombycidae. The record is from RNAcentral.